AUACGUAGGGGGCGAGCGUUGUCCGGAAUUACUGGGCGUAAAGGGUGCGUAGGCGGCCUUUUAAGUCAGAUGUGAAAGGCUGCGGCUUAACCGCAGGACUGCAUUUGAAACUGGAAGGCUUGAGUGUCGGAGAGGGUAGUGGAAUUCCCAGUGUAGCGGUGAAAUGCGUAGAUAUUGGGAGGAACACCAGUGGCGAAGGCGACUACCUGGACGAUAACUGACGCUGAGGCACGAAAGCUAGGGGAGCAAACAGGAUUAGAUACCCUGGUAGUCCUAGCCGUAAACGAUGGGUACUAGGUGUAGGUGGUUUCGAUACCAUCGGUGCCGCAGUUAACGCAAUAAGUACCCCGCCUGGGGAGUACGGUCGCGAGACUGAA
Molecule: ribosomal RNA, 377 nt
Filed under: uncultured bacterium
Lineage: Bacteria
Description: bacterial SSU rRNA
Rfam family: Bacterial small subunit ribosomal RNA
Source: RNAcentral